This 490-nucleotide ribosomal RNA is filed under the name uncultured bacterium. RNAcentral's name for it is "partial 16S ribosomal RNA". It matches the Rfam family "Bacterial small subunit ribosomal RNA", at positions 30 to 507 of the family's 1533-position model. The record is from RNAcentral.
AUUGAACGCUGGCGGCAGGCCUAACACAUGCAAGUCGAACGGUAACAGGAAGCAGCUUGCUGCUUCGCUGACGAGUGGCGGACGGGUGAGUAAUGUCUGGGAAGCUGCUUGAUGGAGGGGGAUAACUACUGGAAACGGUAGCUAGUACCGCAUAAUGUCGCAAGACCAAAGAGGGGGACCUUCGGGCCUCUUGCCAUCGGAUGUGCCCAGAUGGGAUUAGCUUGUUGGUGGGGUAACGGCUCACCAAGGCGACGAUCCCUAGCUGGUCUGAGAGGAUGACCAGCCACACUGGAACUGAGACACGGUCCAGACUCCUACGGGAGGCAGCAGUGGGGAAUAUUGCACAAAGGGCGCAAGCCUGAUGCAGCCAUGCCGCGUGUAUGAAGAAGGCCUUCGGGUUGUAAAGUACUUUCAGCGGGGAGGAAGGGAGUAAAGUUAAUACCUUUGCUCAUUGACGUUACCCGCAGAAGAAGCACCGGCUAACUCCGUG